This 443-nucleotide ribosomal RNA is filed under the name uncultured bacterium. RNAcentral's name for it is "partial 16S ribosomal RNA". It matches the Rfam family "Bacterial small subunit ribosomal RNA", at positions 338 to 795 of the family's 1533-position model. The record is from RNAcentral.
CCUACGGGUGGCUGCAGUGGGGAAUAUUGGGCAAUGGGCGCAAGCCUGACCCAGCAACGCCGCGUGAAGGAAGAAGGCUUUCGGGUUGUAAACUUCUGUUCUGAGGGACGAAGAACGUGACGGUACCUCAGGAAUACGCCACGGCUAACUCCGUGACAGCAGCCGCGGUACUACGUAGGUGGCAAGCGUUAUCCGGAUUUAUUGGGGGGAAAGGGCGUGUAGGCGGGAAAGCAAGGCAGAUGUGAAAACUCAGGGCUCAACCCUGAGUCUGCAUUUGAACAUGGUUUGCUGGAGUGCUGGAGAGGCAAUCGGAAUUCCGGGUGUAGCGGUGAAAUGCGUAGAUAUACGGAGGAACACCAGUGGCGAAGGCGGAUUGCUGGACAGUAACUGACGCUGAGGCGCGAAAGCGUGGGGAGCAAACAGGAUUAGAUACCCUUGUAGUC